GUAAAAGCAAACAUGGUAUUUAAUUAAAAAUAUUAAAUUGACCUUAAUCAAUUUUUAUCAACCUGCUAUUAACACUCACUUUUAGUAAGUUACUUGUACUUUGAGGUUGAAAAAUCUUACCAGCUCAGUCUGCUUGAGCUGGAUUAAUUUAGAAAAAGUAAGUUUAUGACACUGUGGGCAUGCGCAGAUCAAUCAAUCAUCCCCAACCAAUCAAGCUGCUUCGUAAGGCGGGUCUUGGCGUGGCGGGAUUCGUAAUUUUGCAAACGGUAGAUGAAGCUGGAUAUCAUUGAGCUGGACCUAAACAUCGCUUCAACGGCACUUGUGAUUAUCGUCAGCAUAACAGCGAUUCUUGUGCUUGGCACACUCAUUUGUUUCCUUCCAGGCACAAGCAUAUGGUGAUCAAUCCACACAUUCCAUAAUCCCAGCAAUAAAAGAUACUGUGGGUUCGAUUUAUAGUCCAUCAUACCCAGGACAACAGUUCCCUUGAUGUCUAACCACAUAAGCGAAUUUUCAAACAGUUAUCAAAAUGGACCAGAGGUUGUUACUGAGAGUCAUCAUCGCUGAAGAUGAUAUAACAUUGUCAUCACCCACCACAACAUUAGACACUGAGGGCAGCACAGCAGACACUGAGAUCCUGUCGCCUGUAGGAGCAUCACCAUCGCUAAGACAACAGUGGCCAGAGUUCUUUGACAUACCCAAUUAGCACAUAUCAUAGAGAGACAGGUGUUUGCUGAGUUUAAUAGAAUCGCCAGUAAGAAUCUUGAGGGAGACUUCUUUGAGGCUUUGGACCAGUAUGCCCCACGUUUCAUUGAACUUUUCAAAACAAAAUAGGGAACUGUUGGCCAGAAACUCAGGGAGCUGAUGCAGCACAUGAGCUGGAUGACACCAGACGACACAGUACUUCGCUCUGUUGUCCUCAAAGGCAUUCCCAUUUUACUCGGUGAUGACUCCAGUGAAUUCUACAAGACCUGCUCUGAUACAGAGAGAGACGAGGCCCUAGAAUGCAUCACUGUAGUCCUCACGAGGGUCAAAGCUCAGUGGACCUCCAGCCCAUCUCCACUGCCAUCAUUCUGGAGGGAGGUAUUCUCAUGGAUCAUGUUAAAAACUUGCCUCAGGCAGUUUGUCCUUUGUUUCGUCUUACAUAUGCAUUGCAUUUGGAUACCCAAAAUGCAUGGCAAAUACACUCAACUUCAUUCAGACUGUGAUGCUUGGACUGGUAAAGAAAAACCUCCCACCAAAACUGUUAACUCCUGAAGAACAGUCUUCUGGGUUAGAACAGUAAAGAGCCGUUGGCUGUCAGAUAGCACUUUGUAAGCUUUGCAGCCAUUAAUGUUCUCCCUUUUAUCAGAGAAAGUUUGAUGCUUUCAUGGAACUGUUCUCGCUUAUUUACGUUCUCAAUGGAAAAAAAAAAAGAAUAUUCCAUUAAAGUCUACCAUGUUAUGCAGGUAUGCUAAUGGUGGAAAUAGUGCCAUGUUGUGUUGCAAUGAGUUGUUAGAUGUUAUUAGAUGAUAAUGUCAGAAAAUAACCUAGCAAGGUUAUCCUGUUUACAUUUGUGUUUUGGGAAAACUUUUAAUGAUGUUUUUAUUUGUUUUGGUUUAAUCCUUGGACUGCUCACUUUGGGACACAAAAGUAUGUUGUACUUUCGGUUUUGAUCAGAAAUGCACUGAUUUUGCAUGCACUGAAGUCGUCCUGUAGUUACCUGUUUAAUAUUGGGAGACAUGCAUACAAUUAGCUCACAGAAAUGUUUUUAUUUUAUUUUUUUAUAUAUUUUUCCAUGUCAUUUUAUACAGUUAAAUCAAACCACAACUUUGUUGUUUAGCUGCUGUUUUGUACUUGAAUGUGCAUUGAAUAAAUUUUGUAAUGGAGCUGAA
Molecule: non-coding RNA, 1871 nt
Organism: Danio rerio (zebrafish)
Lineage: Eukaryota; Metazoa; Chordata; Actinopteri; Cypriniformes; Danionidae
Source: RefSeq, a predicted model, not a curated record